This 1050-nucleotide ribosomal RNA is filed under the name Salmonella enterica. RNAcentral describes it as "partial 23S ribosomal RNA". It matches the Rfam family "Bacterial large subunit ribosomal RNA", at positions 709 to 1757 of the family's 2925-position model. Lineage: Bacteria; Pseudomonadati; Pseudomonadota; Gammaproteobacteria; Enterobacterales; Enterobacteriaceae. The record is from RNAcentral.
AUAGACCCGAAACCCGGUGAUCUAGCCAUGGGCAGGUUGAAGGUUGGGUAACACUAACUGGAGGACCGAACCGACUAAUGUUGAAAAAUUAGCGGAUGACCUGUGGCUGGGGGUGAAAGGCCAAUCAAACCGGGAGAUAGCUGGUUCUCCCCGAAAGCUAUUUAGGUAGCGCCUCGUGAACUCAUCUCCGGGGGUAGAGCACUGUUUCGGCUAGGGGGCCAUCCCGGCUUACCAACCCGAUGCAAACUGCGAAUACCGGAGAAUGUUAUCACGGGAGACACACGGCGGGUGCUAACGUCCGUCGUGAAGAGGGAAACAACCCAGACCGCCAGCUAAGGUCCCAAAGUCAUGGUUAAGUGGGAAACGAUGUGGGAAGGCCCAGACAGCCAGGAUGUUGGCUUAGAAGCAGCCAUCAUUUAAAGAAAGCGUAAUAGCUCACUGGUCGAGUCGGCCUGCGCGGAAGAUGUAACGGGGCUAAACCAUGCACCGAAGCUGCGGCAGCGACACUGUGUGUUGUUGGGUAGGGGAGCGUUCUGUAAGCCGUUGAAGGUGUGUCGUGAGGCAUGCUGGAGGUAUCAGAAGUGCGAAUGCUGACAUAAGUAACGAUAAAGCGGGUGAAAAGCCCGCUCGCCGGAAGACCAAGGGUUCCUGUCCAACGUUAAUCGGGGCAGGGUGAGUCGACCCCUAAGGCGAGGCCGAAAGGCGUAGUCGAUGGGAAACGGGUUAAUAUUCCCGUACUUGGUGUUACUGCGAAGGGGGGACGGAGAAGGCUAUGUUGGCCGGGCGACGGUAGUCCCGGUUUAAGCGUGUAGGUGUGUGUUCCAGGUAAAUCCGGUUCACUUUAACACUGAGGCGUGAUGACGAGGCACCACGGUGCUGAAGCAACAAAUGCCCUGCUUCCAGGAAAAGCCUCUAAGCAUCAGGUAACAUCAAAUCGUACCCCAAACCGACACAGGUGGUCAGGUAGAGAAUACCAAGGCGCUUGAGAGAACUCGGGUGAAGGAACUAGGCAAAAUGGUGCCGUAACUUCGGGAGAAGGCACGCUGACAC